RNAcentral lists this ribosomal RNA (792 nucleotides) under uncultured bacterium. Its description in RNAcentral is "bacterial SSU rRNA". It matches the Rfam family "Bacterial small subunit ribosomal RNA", at positions 8 to 796 of the family's 1533-position model. The record is from RNAcentral.
AGAGUUUGAUCAUGGCUCAGAACGAACGUUGGCGGCGUGGAUUAGGCAUGCAAGUCGAACGAGAACCAGCCUUGGAGCAAUACCGGGCUGGGGAAAGUGGCGAAAGGGGCAGUAAUGCGUGGGUAACGUACCCCGGGGAUGGGCAUAGCUACGGGAAACCGUAGGUAAUUCCCAGCGAUCUGGCCGAGGGGCAUCUCUUGACCAGGAAACGAAUUUCGCCUCGGGAGCGGCUCACGUCGUAUUAGCUUGUUGGUGGGGUAACGGCCCACCAAGGCAAAGAUGCGUAGCGGGUGUGAGAGCACGACCCGCGCCACUGGCACUGAGACACUGGCCAGACACCUACGGGUGGCUGCAGUCGAGGAUCUUCGGCAAUGAGCGCAAGCUUGACCGAGCGACGCCGCGUGCGGGAUGAAGGCCUUCGGGUUGUAAACCGCUGUCGAGGGGGAGGAAGCUGGCGUAAGCCAGUUGACCUAUCCCUGGAGGAAGCACGGGCUAAGUUCGUGCCAGCAGCCGGGGUAAGACGAACCGUGCGAACGUUGUUCGGAUUCACUGGGCUUAAAGGGCGCGUAGGCGGAUUCGCAAGUCCGGGGUGAAAUCUUUCGGCUCAACCGGAAAAGUGCCUUGGAUACUGCGAGUCUCGAGGGAGACAGGGGCCGCGGGAACUUCCGGUGGAGCGGUGAAAUGCGUUGAUAUCGGAAGGAACGCCGGUGGCGAAAGCGCGCGGCUGGAUCUCUUCUGACGCUGAGGCGCGAAAGCUAGGGGAGCAAACGGGAUUAGAUACCCUAGUAGUCC